CACUUCUAAGGAAGGCAGCAGGCGCGCAAAUUACCCAAUCCUGACUCAGGGAGGUAGUGACAAGAAAUAACAAUAAACCGGCUUAUGCCGGUUUAAUUGGAAUGAGUACAAUUUAAACAUCUUAACGAGGAACAAUUGGAGGGCAAGUCUGGUGCCAGCAGCCGCGGUAAUUCCAGCUCCAAUAGCGUAUACUAAAGUUGUUGCAGUUAAAAAGCUCGUAGUUGGAUUUCUGUGGGGACGGAGCGGCCGGCCGCAACUCGCGGUUCGAGCUAGCGCUUUCCCUACAUCCUGCCGCGAACCGUGCUACCAUUAGUUUGGUGGCGCCGGGGAUCGGCUCGAUUACUUUGAGAAAAAUAGAGUGUUCAAAGCAGGCCACACGCCUUGAAUAAGUUAGCAUGGAAUAAUAACUAAGGACUUCGGUUCUAUUUUGUUGGUGUUCGGGACUGAAGUAAUGAUUGAUAGGGACAGUUGGGGCGGUCUGUAUUCCAAAGCGAGAGGUGAAAUUCUUAGACCUUCGGAAGACAAACAGCUGCGAAAGCGUUCCGCAAGGAUGUUCCCUUUGAUCAAGAACGAAAGUUGGGGGAUCGAAGGCGAUCAGAUACCGUCGUAGUCUCAACUAUAAACUAUACCAGCUAGGGAUCGGCCAACGUUAUUUUAUACCGACUUGGUCGGCACCUUAUGAGAAAUCAAAGCAUCUGGGUUCCGGGGGGAGUAUGGUCACAAGGCUGAAACUUAAAGGAAUUGACGGAAGGGCACCACCAGCCGUGGAGCCUGUGGCUUAAUUUGACUCAACACGGGAAAACUUACCAGGUCCAGACAUAGUAAGGAUUGACAGAUUGAUAGCUCUUUCUUGAUUCUGUGGGUGGUGGUGCAUGGCCGUUCUUAGUUGGUGGAGUGAUUUGUCUGGUUAAUUCCGUUAACGAACGAGACCCCAGCCUGCUAAAUAGCGCGCGUGAGCUUUGCUCGCGGCGAGCUUCUUAGAGGGACUAUGAUGCGCGAUAGCACAUGGAAGUUUGGGGCAAUAACAGGUCUGUGAUGCCCUUAGAUGUUCUGGGCCGCACACGGGCUACACUGGCGCCUGCAACGAGCAUAUCAGCUGGCCCGAGAGGGUCUUGGCUAAUCUUUUGAACCGGCGCCGUGCUUGGGAUUGACCUUUGCAAUUGUUGGUCAUGCAACGAGGAAUGCCUUGUAAACGCGAGUCAUCAGCUCGCAUUGAAUACGUCCCUGCCCUUUGUACACACCGCCCGUCGCUCCUACCGAUGAAUGUUCCGAUGAAAUUUUCGGAGAGCACCUGUGAACUUGGCUCUGCCUUGCGAACGGGAGGCUCAAAGUCACUUAAAUCUGAACAUU
Molecule: ribosomal RNA, 1350 nt
Filed under: uncultured marine eukaryote
Lineage: Eukaryota
Description: SSU rRNA
Rfam family: Eukaryotic small subunit ribosomal RNA
Source: RNAcentral